CGCGCAUUUUGCCCAGGCGGAGCUCGACCGCCGGUUCGAGCGAUGAUCGCGUUCAUUGACGAUCACCGCGAGGCGCAUGGGGUCGAGCCGAUCUGCAAGGUGUUGCAAAUCGCUCCG
Regulatory RNA element from Mesorhizobium sp., 117 nucleotides. It matches the Rfam family "ALIL pseudoknot". The record is from Rfam. Lineage: Bacteria; Pseudomonadati; Pseudomonadota; Alphaproteobacteria; Hyphomicrobiales; Phyllobacteriaceae.